RNAcentral lists this transfer RNA (75 nucleotides) under Planctomycetota bacterium. Its description in RNAcentral is "tRNA-Ile". It matches the Rfam family "tRNA". From Rfam's summary of the family: Transfer RNA (tRNA) molecules are approximately 80 nucleotides in length. Their secondary structure includes four short double-helical elements and three loops (D, anti-codon, and T loops). The record is from RNAcentral. Lineage: Bacteria; Pseudomonadati; Planctomycetota.
AGCGGCGACGCACAACGGUCGUGCACCGGACUCAUACUCCGGACCCAGCUGGUUCGACUCCAGCCGCCGCCACCA